RNAcentral lists this long non-coding RNA (269 nucleotides) under Chrysolophus pictus (golden pheasant). RNAcentral's name for it is "lncRNA (ENSCPIG00010012174.1)". The record is from RNAcentral. Lineage: Eukaryota; Metazoa; Chordata; Aves; Galliformes; Phasianidae.
GGAGCCUUGGUGUGCUCUGAUGAAUUUAAUCGUAUAGAGCUGGAGAGUUCAGAUCGCCGGGAGUUACACUCUUUUUGCAACGAUUUCCUACCUCACGCCAUCAAAGGCUCACAAGCGCUGGCUGAAUACACCACUGCUCAAAAAGAAAACCGAGAUAAAGAGUAACCCUGAAGUGAAGUUGGAAACAACGUGUUCCCGGCACUUUUUUCCCCUACCCUAUAUGACAGCACCAUAUCUUUGAUACGAGACUUCCAGUAGGCAACCUUUUU